CUGAGGACUGAAGACUCGGGCCAGUAUGAGUGUAAAGUGCACACAAGUAAUGAGAGGAGCUCUGGUAAAUGUUGGCUCCAUGUUACUGCAGCGAGGGAUCGGCCUGAACCUGAGACACCAAACACAACAAGUCCACCACAACCAGAGAGUCGGGAUAUGUUCCUAUUCUGCAAUUUAAUAAUCAUACUUGUAGUGUUUGUACUCUGUCUGUAUCUCCCGUGGUUGAUUUUGUUUCCAGCUGUUACAUAAGACAAAAACAAAAAUGUCAGCAGGUGAAUCAGUGGAUACAGUUAACAUCUGUAAUGAGACAAAACUGUUAGAGAUCAUGUUUAUAGCAAAGAAACGCCCCCACACUGUUAAAUUAUAUUUGCAAUCUUUCUUGGGUUAUGAGUUCGUUAACACGAGUCAGCAACUUAUGAAUUUAAUGUGAACAUUGGCUUUAUUGUAGCCUAUUGUAUUUAUCAUUUGAGCAUCUAGUUAAUAUUUUGCAUAAACCCAUGCACUUUAUUGCAGCUGCUACAAUUUUUCUGUACAGAGUUCAUGUUUAUACCACGGAGCCACAGAAAAUACUAAUUUCUCAUUGGCUGGCAGGUAAUACAACUGUUUAUCAGGACAUAUCAAAACAUACCAGCAGGCAACCACAGCAACAACUUUGAUGCUUCCCACACAUGACAUCAGCAAAAUGAUCACAAACUGUAAGAGUUGAUAAAAACACAUCUUUCCUUUC
Perca flavescens (yellow perch) is the source of this 727-nucleotide long non-coding RNA. RefSeq lists it as uncharacterized. The transcript has 2 exons. The record is from RefSeq and is a predicted model, not a curated record. NCBI's taxonomy places the organism in Eukaryota, Metazoa, Chordata, Actinopteri, Perciformes, Percidae.